UCUCUAUUUCACAUAUUUAACCAUUCUUCUGUUGACUGAAAGUCUUUUUAGCUGAAUAUUUGGGAGGGGGUAGGAAAGAGGAAUAUAUUAUAUCAUUUUUAAAGUUAGACUGGGAAUGUUGUUUUGACUUUCAAAACAGCCAGUUUCCUUUUUUGGUGUGGAAUGUCCUCAUUUAUCACAUUCCUGGGAAAACCCUUUUACUUCCCAAGAGCAGACAGAGAAGAGUAAUGUUUCAUUACACAGAUGAACAUGUCUUGUGUAAAAUGCAGAACAGCGUCUGCUGUAAUACAGUAAGCUUAUGAGGGAUUAGGCUGCUGCAGCAAAAUCAUGGUUUACUGUAUAAAAACUCUCAGAUUUUUCAAGUGCAGACAAGCUAUUGAUGGAAACUUGUUGGCAUUUAUUUAUUGUUUCUUUUCAGUGUGUUUGGAAUAAAUUGCAAUUUGGAACAUCUUUAUUUUGCAAAAGGGUAUAUGUCUUAAGUGGUAAAAAGACUUCUCGAAUUGUGUCUUGGUUUGGUGGAGCAAAGCAAAACAAGGUCUAGCAAUGAGGGGAGUUACUUCUUUUUGAGUCAGGUAGUUGGUGUGAAAGAAAUAUUUAUUUCAAUAAUAAAUCAUAUAUAUAUUUGCCAGUGUAUAUUCUUACAUUGUAGUCAUUGUUUUAAAAAGGCAAUCUCUGAUAAAUGUUUUUUCUUCUUUGAUUUUUUCUUCUUAACAUCUUUGAUAAUGGAUUGAAAAUUUUGCAAAAUACAUGCACAGAGCUUCAUUCAGGUUGUCCCUCCAAACAAUUUGCUGUAGUGCAUUAACCAGAAAUGCUGAUGCAGCAAGGGAAACACUAAUAAAUGGGAUGCUUUCCAGGGACUGUUGCCAAGGUCUUUUACUACCAUUCCUACAGUGGUUGGCAAGAUGUCGUUUCUACCCUCACUCUCCAUGUACCAUGCCAGUGACAUCUUAGCUGCUAGAGUGUGGAGCUGGCCUGUGGGAGUCAAGUCACCUUGUAAAUUUUGCUACAUAAAUUAACACAUCCCUUGUUAUGUCAUAACAACCAUGUAAGGGAGAGUGUUUUCCUGCUCUGUCUUAGGUAUUGGUGAUGUGACCUGUUCACGCAGGGGAAACUUGAACAUUCUCAGGUAUGUGAAGAUCAUGAUUCGUAAGCAUUUGCUUCCUGCAAAAAAAAACCUCAGUUUAUUUCAGUGUGAACUCAUGAUGUAGUUUUACAAAAUCAGUCUUGCCAGUUGAUGUUCCUUCCCCUGAUAUUACAGAGAAGAGAUUGGCAAACUAUAGCUGGGACUACUGUAUUUUUGUAAGUAAAGUUUUAUUGGAACACAAGUAGAUCUGUUCACAUAUUGUCAGUGGCUGCUUUUGGCACUACAGCAACAAAGUUGAGUUGUGACAGAAACAAAGCCUGAAAUAUAUGAUUCUUUAAGAAAAAAUUGGCCAACUCAUGCUAUAGAAGAACCAAACUUCAAGUUGCAUUUAGAUAUAAACUUUCUACAACCACAGUUAAAUUCAAAUAGUCUUCUAAAGGGAAAGCCAAGGCCUGUGUCAUAAUGCUGAGUAGGAAGUAACAUUUGCAAUGUAUAUAGUGGUGGGAUUACUAAUACAGGUUAAUGAAGAGGAAAGCUAUGUAUGACAGUAGUCCACUUUUUAUUGUAUUAUCUCCCCGCCCCUAUCCCUCAGUAGAUGUAAACAUUCAUUCAGUGGUAGGAUAUUAUUUUUCUUUCUAGACACUCUAAAGAUUUAGAGAACAGAUAAUGAUAAAAGAUUUAACUAGGAUAUCUAGCAUAGCCAAGCAGUGAUAAGGUGCUCAGGAAAAUGUUCAAGGACCACAGAGCAGAUUAGUGGCAGAAUUCAAAGUAGAGGCUAGAUCUCCUGCCUUCUUUCCUAGAGGUCCUUCCAGUAGCUCUCAUACCAUAUUAGGGCUGCUUGUUUUCCCUGCUAGCUGUAAGGCACAGUCUAUUUUGUUUCCCUUUAUUCAUCCCUGAAGUAAAAGCAAAGACUCAGUGAUUUAAACCACAAAAAUUUGAUUUAUUGAAGAUUUGACUUUACUUGAAGCUUGGAUGCUCUUACUUUAUUGUUUAAAGAUAACUAGGGUAUUGCUUUUUAAUGAUUAAGUACUUACAGUGUAUACUCAAAAGGUUAGAAAAGUUGGAAUGAAAAAGGAAGCCUGAGCCUUGUUCAUAAUGUCAUUGCUAGGAGCAAAACCAAAAUCAGGAUAGGUAGAAUGCUUCCCCCAUAUGACUAUGUAUCUAACUCCGUAGAUGAAAAGAGUGUAUAUGUCUAUGUAUAUGUAUGCGUGUGUGGGCAUAUAACACCUCUUAAAGUGCAUUUUGAUUGCAUUCUGAGAGGAGGUUAGCAGGUCUGUUACAAUCUGCAGAUUAUGAUCAUUUCAAAUGGACCACCAACUUAUACCAUACACAAAAAUAAAUUCAAAAUGGAUUAAAGACUUAAAUGUAAGAUGUGAAACCAUAAAAAUUUUAGAAGAAACCAUAGGCAGCAAAAUCUCAGACAUCUUACUGAU
Long non-coding RNA from Myotis myotis, 2517 nucleotides. RefSeq lists it as uncharacterized. The transcript is spliced from 3 exons. Lineage: Eukaryota; Metazoa; Chordata; Mammalia; Chiroptera; Vespertilionidae. The record is from RefSeq and is a predicted model, not a curated record.